AUGCCAAGCCACAAAUUCGCCUGCCACGAGGGCGUUCUUCACACCCGGAUCAACGAUGUUCAUCAGGAGCUCACCGUCGAGUCGGUUCGCCAGCUGUUUCGUUGCUCCGGUGAUGGACAUGUGAUCUGUGCGUACGAGCGGGUGGUGGACGGGAUGUACGUCGUGGAGGCGUACGUCGAGUUCCGGUCUCGAUGGAGGGCAGCCCGAGCUCGAGAUGCCCUGGAUGGCCAUGCUAUCUACGGUGGCUUCUGCAUCCUUGCCGUCAGACCUUGUCCCGUCGAUCUACACCACCAUCACCAUGCCAGAUGA
RNAcentral lists this ribosomal RNA (309 nucleotides) under Triticum aestivum (bread wheat). RNAcentral describes it as "partial small subunit ribosomal RNA". The record is from RNAcentral. Lineage: Eukaryota; Viridiplantae; Streptophyta; Magnoliopsida; Poales; Poaceae.